GGACUUUUAUGGAGAGAUUCAAAUUAUGGCUCAGACGCUGUUUCCACCACUUUUUAUAGCUAAAGACACUAAGGUGGCACAGUCUGCCCAUUGACUUGACUGUUUUAUGUGGUGAGCAGUAUCUUAUGGCAGCCUUAACUCAG
Molecule: long non-coding RNA, 143 nt
Organism: Calidris pugnax (ruff)
Lineage: Eukaryota; Metazoa; Chordata; Aves; Charadriiformes; Scolopacidae
Exons: 2
Source: RefSeq, a predicted model, not a curated record